This 882-nucleotide ribosomal RNA is filed under the name uncultured fungus. RNAcentral describes it as "eukaryotic LSU rRNA". The stretch from base 433 to 586 matches the Rfam family "5.8S ribosomal RNA". The record is from RNAcentral. Lineage: Eukaryota; Fungi.
UUCUUGGUCAUUUAGAGGAAGUAAAAGUCGUAACAAGGUUUCCGUAGGUGAACCUGCGGAAGGAUCAUUAAAGAAAUUUAAUAAUUUUGAAAAUGGAUUUUUUUGUUUUGGCAAGAGCAUGAGAGCUUUUACUGGGCAAGAAGACAAGAGAUGGAGAGUCCAGCCGGGCCUGCGCUUAAGUGCGCGGUCUUGCUAGGCUUGUAAGUUUCUUUCUUGCUAUUCCAAACGGUGAGAGAUUUCUGUGCUUUUGUUAUAGGACAAUUAAAACCGUUUCAAUACAACACACUGUGGAGUUUUCAUAUCUCUGCAACUUUUUCUUUGGGCAUUCGAGCAAUCGGGGCCCAGAGGUAACAAACACAAACAAUUUUAUCUAUUCAUUAAAUUUUUGUCAAAAACAAGAAUUUUCGUAACUGGAAAUUUUAAAAUAUUAAAAACUUUCAACAACGGAUCUCUUGGUUCUCGCAUCGAUGAAGAACGCAGCGAAAUGCGAUACGUAAUGUGAAUUGCAGAAUUCCGUGAAUCAUCGAAUCUUUGAACGCACAUUGCGCCCCUUGGUAUUCCAGGGGGCAUGCCUGUUUGAGCGUCAUUUCCUUCUCAAACAUUCUGUUUGGUAGUGAGUGAUACUCUUUGGAGUUAACUUGAAAUUGCUGGCCUUUUCAUUGUAUGUUUUUUUUCCAAAGAGAGGUUUCUCUGCGUGCUUGAGGUAUAAUGCAAGUACGGUCGUUUUAGGUUUUACCAACUGCGGCUAAUCUUUUUUUAUACUGAGCGUAUUGGAACGUUAUCGAUAAGAAGAGAGCGUCUAGGCGAACAAUGUUCUUAAAGUUUGACCUCAAAUCAGGUAGGAGUACCCGCUGAACUUAAGCAUAUCAAUAAGCGGAGGAA